AUUGAACGCUGGCGGCAUGCUUUACACAUGCAAGUCGAACGGUAACAGGCCGCCAGGUGCUGACGAGUGGCGAACGGGUGAGUAAUGCAUCGGAACGUGCCCAGUCGUGGGGGAUAACUACUCGAAAGAGUAGCUAAUACCGCAUACGAUCUAUGGAUGAAAGCGGGGGACCGUAAGGCCUCGCGCGAUUGGAGCGGCCGAUGUCAGAUUAGGUAGUUGGUGGGGUAAAGGCUCACCAAGCCAACGAUCUGUAGCUGGUCUGAGAGGACGACCAGCCACACUGGGACUGAGGCACGGCCCAGACUCCUACGGGAGGCAGCAGUGGGGAAUUUUGGACAAUGGGCGCAAGCCUGAUCCAGCAAUGCCGCGUGCAGGAAGAAGGCCUUCGGGUUGUAAACUGCUUUUGUACGGAACGAAACGGCUCUGGUUAAUACCCGGGGCUAAUGACGGUACCGUAAGAAUAAGCACCGGCUAACUACGUG
RNAcentral lists this ribosomal RNA (482 nucleotides) under uncultured bacterium. RNAcentral's name for it is "partial 16S ribosomal RNA". It matches the Rfam family "Bacterial small subunit ribosomal RNA", at positions 30 to 507 of the family's 1533-position model. The record is from RNAcentral.